GACGAAGGAUGCAAGCGUUAUCCGGAUUCAUUGGGUUUAAAGGGUGCGUAGGCGGACUUGUAAGUCAGUGGUGAAAUCUCUUCGCUUAACGAAGAAACUGCCAUUGAUACUGCAGGUCUAGAGUAUAGAUGACGUUGGCGGAAUAUGACAUGUAGUGGUGAAAUACUUAGAUAUGUCAUAGAACACCGAUUGCGAAGGCAGCUAACGAAACUAUAACUGACGCUGAGGCACGAAAGUGCGGGGAUCAAAC
This 250-nucleotide ribosomal RNA is filed under the name uncultured bacterium. RNAcentral's name for it is "partial 16S ribosomal RNA". It matches the Rfam family "Bacterial small subunit ribosomal RNA", at positions 524 to 773 of the family's 1533-position model. The record is from RNAcentral.